RNAcentral lists this ribosomal RNA (497 nucleotides) under uncultured bacterium. Its description in RNAcentral is "partial 16S ribosomal RNA". It matches the Rfam family "Bacterial small subunit ribosomal RNA", at positions 28 to 507 of the family's 1533-position model. The record is from RNAcentral.
GAUGAACGCUGGCGGCGUGCCUAAUACAUGCAAGUCGAGCGAACAGACGAGGAGCUUGCUCCUCUGACGUUAGCGGCGGACGGGUGAGUAACACGUGGAUAACCUACCUAUAAGACUGGGAUAACUUCGGGAAACCGGAGCUAAUAGCGGAUAAUAUAUUGAACCGCAUGGUUCAAUAGUGAAAGACGGUUUUGCUGGCACUUCUAGAUGGAUCCGCGCCGCAUUAGCUAGUUGGUAAGGUAACGGCUUACCAAGGCAACGAUGCGUAGACGACCUGAGAGACUGAUAGGCCACACUGGAACUUGAACACCGACCUUACUCCUACGGUAGGCAGCAGUAGGGUAUCUGCCGCAAUAGUCGAAAGCCUUACGCAGCAACGCCGCGUGAGUGAUGAAGGUCUUCGGAUCGUAAAACUCUGUUAUUAGGGAAGAACAAAUGUGUAAGUAACUAUGCACGUCUUGACGGUACCUAAUCAGAAAGCCACGGCUAACUACGUG